Molecule: ribosomal RNA, 222 nt
Filed under: Eimeria sp. 3 RHa-2020
Lineage: Eukaryota; Apicomplexa; Conoidasida; Eucoccidiorida; Eimeriidae
Description: partial 18S ribosomal RNA
Rfam family: Eukaryotic small subunit ribosomal RNA
Source: RNAcentral
CCAGCAGCCGCGGUAAUUCCAGCUCCAAUAGUGUAUAUUAGAGUUGUUGCAGUUAAAAAGCUCGUAGUUGGAUUUCUGUCGUGGUCAUCCUGUGCUGCCCGUAUAGGCGUGCACGUGGUUUGCCCUCGACUUUCUUCCGGUAGCCUCUCUGGCUCUUCACUGGGUCGGGAGGUGUUCUGGAACUUUUACUUUGAGAAAAAUAGAGUGUUUCAAGCAGGCUUG